This is a ribosomal RNA of Erinaceus europaeus (western European hedgehog), 116 nucleotides long. The record is from Ensembl. NCBI's taxonomy places the organism in Eukaryota, Metazoa, Chordata, Mammalia, Eulipotyphla, Erinaceidae.
GUCUAUGGCCAUACCACCCUGAACAUGCCCGAUCUAGUCUGAUCUUGGAAGUUAAGUGCAGUCAGGCCUGGUUAGUACUAGGAUGGGAGAAUAGUUAGAAAAAGAUGUCCUGAAAC